RNAcentral lists this long non-coding RNA (9284 nucleotides) under Nicotiana tabacum (common tobacco). RNAcentral describes it as "long non-coding RNA (NTAB_LNC011914)". Lineage: Eukaryota; Viridiplantae; Streptophyta; Magnoliopsida; Solanales; Solanaceae. The record is from RNAcentral.
UUUUUUAACCUAAAAACUUAAACUCUUUCUGAAAAUACAGACAUGAUACACUAUUUAUAACUAAUUUAUAUCUUCAAAAAAGAAAAAAAGGAAAAGAAAAAUAGAAACACAAAAAGCGGAUCCUAAAAAGAAGGGCGCUGAUAUUGGAGGCUUUUUUGAAAAGCCAUAGAAGAAAUGGAGUUUGAUACUUCUCCGAUUAAUCGUUGCUCCAAAGAGCAUGAGAAAAUCUAUCAACAGUGGUUUAGCUUAGCCGAUUCAGGUAUUUUCCCUUUUCCUCAUUUUCUAUCCAUGGGAUCCGACUCACGAAUUUUAUGCUGAAAACGCGAAUUUGGGGUAUUUUGUAUCAGAUGGAGAUGGACGUCUCACUGGAGGCGAUGCCAUUAAGUUCUUUGCCUUGUCCAAUUUGCCACGCCAGGAACUCAAGCAGGUCUCUUUUCUUUCCUACUUUGGGCUGCGUGUUUCUUUUGAACUGGAUUUGUCGUUCCUUUUUUAUUUCCUCCCUCUCUUCCAAUUUAUGCAACAUAGUUUAAAUCAUUGAAGCUUGUCAUCUUAAACUUGCAUGUAUAUAAAACAUUUGAAAGUUGUGGCCGUAAAUAUUUCUUAUCAAGGGUACAAUAUUAAUGUAUAAAGUUAAUUGUUUUCAAAUAUAGAAUAAGGAAACAAUUUUACAUAAACUGGAAUGGAUGAAGUAAUUUUUAGAUGACAGUGUCGAGCUAGAGUACAUUGACUAAUAAUAGGUUACCAGUUGCUACUUUUCGACAGAUAUAGAGUAACUCUGCCCCAAAAGCUGAAGCAAAUGGGAAAAAUUAAUUAUGUUGCUUACUCCUUUCUGCCAAACAAAUUUAGCGGGAGAUAGAGAACACCAAAGUUUAGCGUGUUUUCACAUUCUGUUCCAUCCACCUUUCAUUCUUUUGCUGGUGCAGAGAAUGGCUUAGAGUGACAGUUUUUGAUACUCGAGUAUGGCUCAUUAGUUGUAGUCCCUUCAAAGCCAGGUUUUACAUGUUUAAAUUCUUAUAAAAUUUAGACUGAUGUUCUCUGGAUGAUUUGCCGUUACCUAAUCUUCUAUCCUGAAUGGUCACCGUACAAUAAUAAGCUCGACUAAGGCCUUAUUAAUUGUUAAUGUUCAAAGUGGAGGAUAAGUUCUUAAAGUAGUGUGCUUCUAAUUGAUCAUGUUGUAAACACCAGGAUUUCUGUUCUUCUCUCUUCAGUUUAGUAACUGACUCAAUCCUUGUAAAGCCUUUACCAUAAUUGAAUGAUGUCAACCAGAUUACAAGCUGUCUUUUCAUGAUGCAACUUCUUGUUUCUGAUCCUUGAUGGCAGUUCACAUUACGUGCUUUAUUGGGGGCUAAUGACACAUUUAUGUCUGAAAGUAGAUGUGGAGUAAGUCUUUAAGCAUUGUGUUGAAGUAGGUCUUAGAGCAUUUUUUCUCUGAUUCUUAGGUGAUGUCAUUGCGUGAAUGUAUAUCUGGUAUUUUUGUUCAGUUACCUUUGAGACCAAAUCCAAUCCACUAUUCCAUAGCAUCGCGUCAUCCAGAUUUUCUGUGAAUCUAUAGUAGGAAUCCUACACAAAGUGAAAGCCAUUAGAAUGCUUAAACCAACGAUGUUAUAUUAGAGUGAGUGUAUCUCUAUGGUCACACAUAUGCACAAGAUGAGCGUCUUAAAAAUGCAAAUAUUAAAAUGGAUGCAUAGUCAUACAAGAUUAAAAGAUGAUCACAUCUAACAAAGAUAUAAGUAGAAUGCGUAAAAGGCUGAAUGAGAGAAGGUUGCAUGAAAUGAUUUGACCAUAUCCUACGUAGACUUGACAUGAAGCAUAUAGGUGCAUUAUGAUGACUGGAGUUGAUAAAAUGGAUGAAGUAGAGAUAAAAUAACAUUAAAGGAAGUUAUCUCAAAAGCCAUACAAUCUCCGAAACAGUAUUGAUGUAGCUAAGAGCAGAACAUAACAAGAGCAAAGGAUCCAUAUAGGCGAUGUAAACUACUCAAGAUUUGAACUAGUUGUUAUUGUCCGCUUACGUUAGUCGACCCCAACUAGUUUGAAAUUGAAGAACAAUUGAUUGAUUGAUAUUUUGACUAAUUGGGCUUGGGAUGAUGAACUUGAGCGUUGUGCUUUGACAUCUGAUUUUUUCAAAGUGGUGAACCUCUUGCAGUAGACGGUGGAAAGUAUUUGUGUGAAUUUCAUCUUUACAACUAAUAAGAGUAACUCCGAUCUGAAAGGCGAAUGGAGGAUGAAACACGUGGAUAAGCUGGUCCUGUUAAGUGGGUAAUUCUGAUUAUUGGACCUUCGCUAAUCAUUUGCAAUUCAUGUUAACAUUUCGCGAUGAAUAGUGAACAGAACUGACCAGUGAAAAAAAAAACAGAACUGACCAGUGGAUAAAGUGUGUAUAAUUUGGCAAGCACAGUGAUAAGUGGAACUAAAUUUGGAUGGUGACAAGCCCAAAAGAAUUGGAUGGCAAAGUAAACCCUCCUAUGCCAACAAAACAAACAGAUGCUUGCUCUUUUUAUUACUUUUAGAGUGUUAUGUGGAUUAUGCCAAAUAUCCACGGACUAUUUGCAGUAGCAUUGUAUUUUUGUCCACCCCGUGCUACUAAGUUUUAUCACGUGUCAGUUUCCACCUAGUACUACUAUGAUUAUGCAUUUAAUAGCUAUUACCAAAAUCAGAUUUAUCCAUUCUUUUGUGCCAGUUUUGGUAAUUCUUGUGUAAUAGCUAUUUUUGUUUCAAUAAAUUAUUUUUCUUUUCUUCUUUUCCUAAGGUGUGGGCGAUUGCAGAUUCCAAACGGCAAGGCUUUCUUGGUUUUAGAGAGUUUAUUACUUCAAUGCAGGUACCAGUUUAUUAUGGAGUCGCAUUUCAACUUGGUAUUUACUUUUAAUCCAGCGAAGACUCAGAUUCCUUAUUUUUUUUUUUAAAUAUAGUUGGUCUCUUUGGCUCAAGCUGGCCAUCCAGUAACCGGUGAUCUCUUAAAUGCUGAAGGUAACUAGCAUACUUUAUAAACUUUUUGAUUCAAAACUUUAAGCUAGCAACGCCAGUAGUCUCCACAAUGCGGUCUCUGGCAAACUAGUUGAUCCAUUUCAAUGCCCUGUAUUCACUUUCUUUUGCUGUAGCAUUGUGUCAUAUCCUAAUCUUACAAUUAGAACAAUUUUAAUCAUGGCAGUUAACUUUGAAAAUUUGCAACCCCCUACCUUGGAAGGUCUUGAUGUACUUCAAGCUGUAAGUAUGUUAGAUUUACUUUUUGCAUUAGUUUUCAUUAAUUGUGGGGCUGUUGACUUAUAUUUUUAUAAUACAGAAGAAAAAGCGCACGCCUAAAAGUGAACCUGAACAGAAUGGUAAUUUUACUUAUCAUAUUCUUAUAUCUUUGUUCUUAGUAAUUCUUGGGAAAUUGAGAAGGGAGUUAGAUAGAUCUCCGAGUCUAACUGAUUGGAUUACAAAGCAGGCAAUCCUACAGCGCAAUCUUCCGUUACAGCUAAUUGGUUUUCAUCAUCAACAUCUGUAAAGAAGGUGAGAGACUUCAUGCAACUUGGAAUACCUGCCACUUGCUCUCUCCAUCCCAAAUUAUAUGACAGAUUUACGACAGAUAUUCUUAUAGGGAGCUCUUAAAAUGAUUGACACACUUCUUAUGUAAUACUUCUUUAUAUAACUUUCACAACUUACUCAUAUAAAUUCAUUUAGCUAUCUCAAAUUUAAAUCAUAUCAAAUAUUCUCCCUUCAAGUCAAUUUGUUAAUAAGCAUCUUUUGUCCUUUCCCAUUAAUGAGAUAGUUGUUUUGAUGUUGUGAACUAAUUGUUGAAAUGUACUUUCCUUACCUUAUCAAAAGAGAAAAUGUACUUUUCUUUAACUCCCCCUAAUACAUCCUAUAGCACAUCAUUGCGUGUUUAUUGCUAAAUUUUCUAUGUUUGCUCUUCAAUGAGGCCUGGUUCUUUUUAUCAACCCUCAGGUCUCUUUAACCUCUGUCACAUCCAUAAUCGAUGGACUGAAGAAGUUAUACAUCCAAAAACUAAAGCCACUGGAAGUCGCAUAUCGCUUUAAUGAUUUCGUCUCUCCAUUCUUGGUAGGUGAUUUAUUUCAUAAUUGUUGUGCUUAUUUUCAUGAAAAAGAAGCUUCUCGCUUAUAUGUCUUCCAUUCAACUAUGGUUUUCUUUGUACUGAUUUAUGGAAAAGCGGCACAGAAACCACUGACUGCUUUCCUUAAUGUGCUGUGUGUUGGUAGACAAAUAGUGAUUUUGAUGCCAAACCAAUGGUUAUGCUUUUGGGUCAAUACUCAACCGGAAAAACAACAUUCAUUAAGCAUUUACUUAGAACUAGCUAUCCAGGUUAGCUAAACUCUUUAUUCUUGUGUAUAUGCUCUUCUUUGUGCAUUCAUAGCUUUGUGUUGAUACUUUGCUCCUUGUUGUCUAUAGGUGCUCAUAUCGGGCCUGAGCCUACCACAGACAGAUUUGUGGUUGUCAUGGUAUUUUCAUUUAACUUUAUUAGACAGAUUUGUCGUUUUCAUGGUAUUUCACUUAUCUUUUGUUCUGCUCACCAUUGUGGUCACUUAUUUAAUGUCCUUUUUGGAUUAUGUUGCUGAACAAAAAGAGAACUUACGCUUUCUCCCUGAGUUGAAUGCCUUUCUUUCUAUCUGAAAUUGUGCCAAAAAUAGUGUGCACUAACUUGACAAAGAUGGCUUUUCAAUUUAUUAUGUUUAUCUUAUUGCGGAUAUAUCUUUUAACCUUUCUGUCCUAGCACAUAUUUCUAUUUAUCAUAUCAAUGAGAAUAUUUUGCCACAGUUUUUCUAGUUAUAAACCAAGACAUUUAGUUGGAAAGGAGAAGGCUAUACCAAUGCCAUGCAUGUUUGUUAAUGGCUUUCUCAAAUAUGAUUGUUAUGGUAAAUCUUUUGUAGGAUUGGUGAUCGGGUUUGACUGUAUUAUGCAGAAUGGGCCUGAUGAAAGGAGUAUUCCGGGGAACACAAUUGCUGUUCAGGCAGAUAUGCCAUUUAGCGGUCUGACAACUUUUGGAACUGCUUUUUUGUCAAAAUUUGAGUGUUCUCAAAUGCCUCAUCCUGUGAGUUAUGCUUCUUCUUCAUCUCAUAGAUAAAAUGAUCAGAGCUUUCACAAAAAUUCAUGAAACUCUGGACAUUUUUUCCCAACUUUUCCCUCUUUAUUAUGUUAGCUGUUGGAGCACAUCACGUUUGUGGAUACUCCUGGAGUUCUAUCUGGCGAAAAGCAACGAACACAAAGGAGCUAUGAUUUUACCGGUGUGACAUCUUGGUUUGCUUCCAAGUGUGAUCUCAUUCUUCUUUUGUUUGAUCCCCACAAACUUGAUAUAAGUGAUGAAUUCAAACGUGUGAUUGCGUCUCUUCGAGGCCAUGAUGAUAAGAUACGAGUGGUUUUGAACAAGGCUGACCAAGUUGAUACUCAACAAGUAAGGCAGGAAAUUAUUUUGGUUACUUUAUGAUUUCCACCUGUUUCUGAACUUCACUAGAAUUUGAUUUAAUUGUUGGUGUCAACUGCAGCUUAUGAGGGUUUAUGGAGCAUUGAUGUGGUCACUAGGGAAGGUUCUAAAUACCCCUGAAGUUUCGCGUGUCUACAUAGGGUAUAAUCUUCUUCUUCUUCUUCUUUCUUUUUUUUUUUUUUUUGGCAAUUAGUUCAGGUGCUCUGCCCAACAAAAUGUUAUUAAGUUGCACGAACUAAUAAAUAUUUUGGGAAUUCAAAUAUCCCUUAUUUGCUGGAUGCCGUUACCAUGUGUCAAAGCUGCAUCUUAUAUGUUAUAUCAGACUAUUGCUAGUGGACAUCAGAUCUUGAUCACCUAGCCCCAACAGAACUAGAGUGCGUUUAUAGCUUUUCACCUUUGACAACACUACCUCCGCCUCCAACCAGUAUGUUGGGGUUCGAGUCACUAGGGAGCAAAGUGCAUAGAACCUGAUCGGCUCCUGUACAGGGUGCCUUUUUUUGGGUGGUGGAGGGGUGGGGGGCAAAAAAGAAUCCACCUCAUGCUUUAUGUAUACUCAGCCUAUCGUAUCUGUUUUUCUCUCAUGCUUGAGGCGUAGGUAUUACAUGCAUGCUCUGGAAUCAGAUAUCUAAUAUGGAUGUCCAUUUCCUAUGUUGUUUGUAUAUAUGCAAAAUGUUGAGUCUUCUACGGUGUAGCCUUUUAGAUAUCGACAAUUACAAACUUUUUUUUGGAGUUACACAAAAAUGUGGGUGUUUUGGCUUCUACAGAUCAUUCAAUGACAAACCAAUAAAUGAGGCUGCUACAGGGCCAGUUGGAAAAGAACUUUUUGAAAAGGAGCAAGAUGAUCUUCUUACAGAUUUGAAAAACAUACCAAAGAAGGCUUGUGAUCGUCGUGUAAGUUCACAGUUUUCAUUAUGGAGUCAUAUUUUACUGCUCAUAUAUUGUGCAUCCAAUUUGCUUGAAAUGAGGAUAACAAACAGGUUAUAUUUUGUGCAGAUAAAUGAGUUUGUAAAACGUGCUAGAGCUGCCAAGAUACAUUCUUAUAUUAUCAGUCACCUGAAAAAGGAGAUGCCUGCAAUGAUAGGCAAAGCCAAGAUGCAGCAAAAACUAAUUGAUAACUUGGAAGAUCAAUUUGUAAAGGUCUCUGUCUCACGCUCUCUUUCUCUGUUGUGUGUCUCAAAUCUACAUACAUAUGUGCUCAGCAUGCAUGCGUGCUGAGCACCAACAAGCAAUUUCAGUCUUCUGACAUGAUCAUUUAUGGAGCUUUUUAUGUACUAAUAUCCAACUCAUAAAAACAGGUUCAAAAGGAACACCAUCUGCCACCUGGGGAUUUUCCUAAUGUCGAACACUUCAGGGAAGUUCUGAGUGGUUAUAACAUCGAUAAGUUUGAGAAGUUGAAGCCCAAAUUGAUACAAUCCGUUGAUGACAUGCUUGGUUAUGACAUCCCAGAACUUCUCAAGAAUUUCAGAAACCCUUAUGAUUGAUGAGGCCCAGAGCUGAUAUAGUAUAGAGUCGUUUCUCACAUUCGUGAUGUUUAUCAUAGUGUAUCUUGUAUUCUUAUUCUUAUUUUUACUCCCACAUUGAGACUUGGGCUUAAUAGCGAAUAUGAAGCGAUACUUUCAUUUGGCAAUUAUAGUGGCUUGUAAAUAUGCAUUAAGAAUUCUUUAUUUUUUGUGUUUGUAUGUGUAUUAAUUUUUUUCCUUUAUUUUUCUCGUUGGUUUCUUAGUUAUUCUUUUCACGAAAUGUCAUUGACCAGGUUUCGUGCCAUGUCUUAGCGACCUGCUACGUUUGUCAAUUUUUGUUGGCAUUCAGCUGGGUAACGUGAAGAUGUUAGAAACAGAAGAUGCCCGAGUUGCCAAGUAGUUGUUGUCACACCUCCUUUUUACACACCCGAAGGUAUAUACGAGAAUUUUUUCAAUUUAAGUGACAUUAUUCGAAAUGGGAUUAAUUAUUCAAUUCAGAGUCGCCACUUGGGAUAGUUUAUUUGGUGUCCCAAGUCAACGAUUUAUUUUAAAUCCCAAAUCGAGGAAAUUUCGACUUUCCUUUAGAAGUCUGCGAACCAGAAAUUCUGAAUAAGAAAUUCUGUUAACCCGAGGGAAGGUGUUAGGCACCCCCGGAUUCCGUGGUUCUAACACGGUCGCUUAAACUAUUAUAAUUGGUCUAUUAUCUGAUUUAUUACAUGUUUUAGCCUAUGGUACAUUUUUAACUUAUUAGCCGCUUUUAAUUAGUUUUAGGAAGAUUCAACGUUAUCUAAAACAUGUCUUGAACCACGCCACAUGAAAUGCACCCACGGUCCACAACACAUUUUAUUUAACGUUGUUGAGAUUUGGAUUUGGGUCACAUGAAAUGCACACCUGAGUUUAAGGAAAUUAAUUUAAAUAGCGCGCCUAAAGCAACUACGCACUUUCAAGUUUGCGAGGGCCAUGGAAAAUUCAACUAAAUGGAACGCCUCGAUUUCUAAGGAUUAAAUUAAAUGAGGGCCAUGAUUUUUGAGAUUUUAUUUGGCAUGGCGCGCCACGAUUAUUCUAAAAGGAUUGUAUUCAAUUUAAAGCAAACUAUAAAUGUUCAUGAUUAUUGCAAGGCCAUGGAUUAUAGUAGCUCUCUACUCUCUCGGGGUAAGGGUAAGGUCUACGUACUCACUAUCCUCUCCAGAUCCUGCUUGUGGAAUUAUACGGGGUUGUUAUUGUUGUUGUUGUUUCCUUAAAGCACUGCUUAUCUCUACACGAUCCAAAGUUUUUCCAACACUUCAAGUCUUUAACAAAAAUUCUUUGAGCACAACCUUUCCACUCAAGGAUUUUCAACAUAGAACGUUAUACACUUAUAUAGAUAAAUUGAUUUCUUGUUCUUAUCAGACAAUAAGCUCCACGCUUCUUAAACAUGCUUAAAAGCUCCUUCAAUCCCAAAUGACUUAUUCUUAUCAGGAUGAAGUAUGAGAGCUAAUUUCCUAUAUUGUUUCCUUAUCGCCUCAUCAUCAGUUUUCGGACUAACACCAACAAAACAUUAACUCUCACCCUAAUAUGGUGCAGAAACUAAAUAGAACAAUUACAUUGGGGCAGUAAGUAGUAGUCAGUGAAUGGAGAAACUUUAAGCCCAGUUUUUUAACCAAUUUGUUGUAACAACAACGAAUAGCUCCAUAAUCUUUUAUAGUUAUAGAAACACAUUGAAUUAACUUCAUAACUAUUGGUUGAGCAUAUAAUGCCAAACAACAUGUCAUAUAAACAAUAUUCCCAAACAACAGGUCAUACAAACGCUCAACGAAUUAUUUCAAAGCUUAACUCAUUGUGACAAACAAUUAGCCGUCAACAAUUAAUUACAUCAUUUUUGGACUGAAAUCCAUACCUCAAUCAGCAGUAAUACAUCGCGAAAUUAGCCCGAUUAAAAGCAAAGAAAGGAGCAGGGAGCUCAACGAUGAGACAAACAGCAGCAGCAACGAAAUUGACCAAAUAAGGUCUGAAAUAAGAGUGAACUCCAACAACGGGAAUAGCGACAAGGUCGUUCAAUUCGACUCCAUUUUUUUUGGAACAGAAUCCGAAAUUGGGAAGCCCGGGAAUGAGAAUUUUUUUUAUUCUUUUUUUUUUUUUUUGUUUUCUGAUUUUGAAAUAGAAACAGAACUGGAGCGAAGAACUGAACUCAAACUUUUCUACUUUUUCUCAAUUUUUUUUGUAUCUUUGUUCUAGGAAUUGAAAGAAAAUUCUGAAAUUAAUCCGAAACUUAACAAAAAAAAAAGAACCAAACAAAAAUCUUUUCCCCCUUUUCUCGAAUUUCAGUCCCAAAAUCUCAUGUUCCCGUCACUCCCAAAAAUUCCUCUGUUCUCUUACUUUCGGAUCUAAGAUUCACAGGGUUCGAACUCAAGAUUUUGUUUUAUCUCUUG